GACGAACGCUGGCGGCGUGCUUAACACAUGCAAGUCGAACGGAAAGGCCCUGCUUGCAGGGUACUCGAGUGGCGAACGGGUGAGUAACACGUGGGUGAUCUGCCCUGCACUUCGGGAUAAGCCUGGGAAACUGGGUCUAAUACCGGAUAGGAGCCAUUUUUAGUGUGAUGGUUGGAAAGUUUUUUCGGUGUAGGAUGAGCUCGCGGCCUAUCAGCUUGUUGGUGGGGUAAUGGCCUACCAAGGCGGCGACGGGUAGCCGGCCUGGGAGGGUGGACGGCCACAUUGGGACUGAGAUACGGCCCAGACUCCUACGGGAGGCAGCAGUGGGAAAUAUUGCACAAUGGGCGCAAGCCUGAUGCAGCGACGCCGCGUGGGGGAUGACGGCCUUCGGGUUGUAAACUCCUUUCGCUAGGGACGAAGCUUUUUGUGACGGUACCUAGAUAAGAAGCACCGGCUAACUACGUG
This 465-nucleotide ribosomal RNA is filed under the name uncultured bacterium. RNAcentral's name for it is "partial 16S ribosomal RNA". It matches the Rfam family "Bacterial small subunit ribosomal RNA", at positions 28 to 507 of the family's 1533-position model. The record is from RNAcentral.